Molecule: ribosomal RNA, 491 nt
Filed under: uncultured bacterium
Lineage: Bacteria
Description: partial 16S ribosomal RNA
Rfam family: Bacterial small subunit ribosomal RNA
Source: RNAcentral
AGUGAACGCUGGCGGUAGGCCUAACACAUGCAAGUCGAACGGCAGCACAGUAAGAGCUUGCUCUUACGGGUGGCGAGUGGCGGACGGGUGAGGAAUACAUCGGAAUCUACUUUUUCGUGGGGGAUAACGUAGGGAAACUUACGCUAAUACCGCAUACGACCUACGGGUGAAAGCAGGGGAUCUUCGGACCUUGCGCGAUUGAAUGAGCCGAUGUCGGAUUAGCUAGUUGGCGGGGUAAAGGCCCACCAAGGCGACGAUCCGUAGCUGGUCUGAGAGGAUGAUCAGCCAACCGGGAACUGAAAACGGGCCCAACCCCCUAGGGGAGGCAGCAGGGGGGAAUAUUGGAAAAGGGGCGAAACCCUGACCCAGCCAUCCCGCGGGGGUGAAGAAGGCCUUCGGGUUGUAAAGCCCUUUUGUUGGGAAAGAAAAGCAGCAGGUUAAAACCCCGCUGUUCUGACGGUACCCAAAAAAAAAGCACCGGCUAACUUCGU